RNAcentral lists this unclassified non-coding RNA (309 nucleotides) under plant metagenome. Its description in RNAcentral is "partial contains 5.8S ribosomal RNA, internal transcribed spacer 2, and large subunit ribosomal RNA". The stretch from base 1 to 104 matches the Rfam family "5.8S ribosomal RNA", at positions 51 to 154 of the family's 154-position model. The record is from RNAcentral.
AAAUGCGAUAAGUAGUGUGAAUUGCAGAAUUCAGUGAAUCAUCGAAUCUUUGAACGCACAUUGCGCCCCUUGGUAUUCCAUGGGGCAUGCCUGUUCGAGCGUCAUUUGUACCCUCAAGCUCUGCUUGGUGUUGGGUGUUUGUCCCCGUCUCCGCGCGUGGACUCGCCCCAAGGUGAUUGGCAGCCGGCGUACUGGUCCCGGAGCGCAGCACAUGUCGCGCAAACGAGUGCCUUGGUACGGCGGCGUCCAUAAGCCCCUCUCUCACGCUCUUGACCUCGGAUCAGGUAGGGAUACCCGCUGAACUUAAGC